This 370-nucleotide unclassified non-coding RNA is filed under the name plant metagenome. RNAcentral describes it as "partial contains 5.8S ribosomal RNA, internal transcribed spacer 2, and large subunit ribosomal RNA". The record is from RNAcentral.
CCCCUGAUGGAGUUCGGGGGCCACAGCGGACCGCCACCACUGAAGGCCCGCUGCGAGCUACGGCUGUAGAACGUAGAGAGUGAAAACCCCUUGAAUUGGGCACUCAGCACCGCGCCCAGCGAUCGCUCAAAGGCCGACGUGGCACCGGCGACCCCCGCGGCGUCCACCAUUCGGUAAGGCCACCCGCCCUCAAAGAAGUACUUCGCCGCAGCCAAAACGUGUAAAUCUUUCGAACCAUAUCCACCGGAGAGAUUGCCUUGACUGGUUCGAAAUGACCCGUACUGGAGGGCUCCCUCCAGCUUCAAGUUCUCGACCUUGCGGGUGAUGAUGUUGAUGGUUCCCGCGUAAGCGUGGGUCCCGUAGAUGACAG